GAGCUUCUAGUAAAACUAUUGCACGGCCUUGUCAAGGCUGACUUGCGGGUUAAAAUCCCACGAAGCUUA
RNAcentral lists this transfer RNA (69 nucleotides) under Trachonurus sulcatus (bristly grenadier). Its description in RNAcentral is "tRNA-Asp". It matches the Rfam family "tRNA". Rfam says of the family: Transfer RNA (tRNA) molecules are approximately 80 nucleotides in length. Their secondary structure includes four short double-helical elements and three loops (D, anti-codon, and T loops). The record is from RNAcentral. Lineage: Eukaryota; Metazoa; Chordata; Actinopteri; Gadiformes; Macrouridae.